This 3618-nucleotide long non-coding RNA is filed under the name Volvox carteri. RNAcentral's name for it is "long non-coding RNA (VCAR_LNC003457)". Lineage: Eukaryota; Viridiplantae; Chlorophyta; Chlorophyceae; Chlamydomonadales; Volvocaceae. The record is from RNAcentral.
UUCGGUGUGCCGCCGCGGUGGGCUUCUUAAUCGUGCUGUUUUCCGCAGUCGCUUGUCAGGCAUUUUAGUGCCGUAUUCUGAGGACUGCCGCAGCAGCUUUUCUACAAGCGGGCCGCCUUCCGUGGUCGCCGUCUACACAUUCUUAAAUCAUAAAGCCGUCAGUUCGGUGUGCCGCCUCGGCGGGCUUCCUAAGUGCGCUGCCUUCUACAGCCUCUUAUCAUGCAUUGGUGCCGCACUAUCGGACCGCCGCAGCGGUGUUUCUACAAGUGGACCGCCCUCCGCUGUCACCUUCUAUAUGCUCCUAAAUCAACGCCUUCCGUUCGGCUUGCCGCCACUGCGGGCUCCCUAAGCGCACUGUCUUCCGCAGCCGCUUGUCAUGCAUUUGUGCCGCACUUGUUGUUGUUGUUACAUGUCCGUGGGUGCGUUCCCCGUACCUGCAAACCACCCUAGUACGAGCCGAGGGCUCAAGGGCUGACAAAUCGCCUAUAAGCACCAUCCUACCUCGCACUUCCAACGAGAUAAGUGAUGAAGUAAACUUACGGCCAAAGGGAACAAUAGAGUUGCGGUGAGACCAUAUAAGUUCCAGCAUCCUUGCCCGGCGUUCAGGCUCCCACUUCAUAACGUCCUUCAUGCCGCACUUAGCGGACCGCCACAGCGGCUUUUCUACAAGCACACCGCCUUCCGCGGCCGCUGUCUAAAUGCUCCUAAAUCAACGCCUUCAGUUUCGGCGUGCCGCCACGGCGGGCUUCCUAAGCGCACUGCCUUCCGCAGCCGCGUGUCAUGCAUUUGAGCCGCACUUAGCGGACCGCCGCAGCGGUGUUUCUACAAGCGCACCGCCUCCCCCGGCCGCUGUCUAUAUGCUCCUAAAUCAACACCUUCAAUUCGGCGUGCCGCCGCGGCGGGCUUCCUAAGCGCACUGCCUUCCGCAGCCGCGUGUCAUGCAUUUGUGCCGCACUUAGCGGACCGCCGCGGCGGCUUUUCUACAAGCACACCGCCUCCCGCGGCCGCUGUCUAUAUGCUCCUAAAUCAACGCCUUCAAUUCGGCGUGCCGCCGCGGCGGGCUUCCUAAGCGCACUGCCUUCCGCAGCCGCGUGUCAUGCAUUUGUGCCGCACUUAGCGGACCGCCGCGGCGGCUUUAUGAUGUAGCUGUAGUCCGUCCACACGUCCGAAGGCUCCGGGUCCGUCCACGCGUCUUGACUUCAACUUUCGUUUGCUUGCGGAUUUCUUGACGCCAUCCUGUAUGCCUGUCUUGCUCAUUGUUCUUUACGCCUUCGCACGUAGGGUAGCUGUUAUGUUGGUAAGUAUCNNNNNNNNNNNNNNNNNNNNNNNNNNNNNNNNNNNNNNNNNNNNNNNNNNAUAUCCUCCUAGGUCACAACGCCUCCCAUUCGGUGUGCCGCCGCGGUGGGCUUCUUAAUCGUGCUGUUUUCCGCAGUCGCUUGUCAGGCAUUUUAGUGCCGUAUUCUGAGGACUGCCGCAGCAGNCUUUUCUACAAGCGGGCCGCCUUCCGUGGUCGCCGUCUACACAUUCUUAAAUCAUAAAGCCGUCAGUUCGGUGUGCCGCCUCGGCGGGCUUCCUAAGUGCGCUGCCUUCUACAGCCUCUUAUCAUGCAAUUGGUGCCGCACUAUCGGACCGCCGCAGCGGUGUUUCUACAAGUGGACCGCCCUCCGCUGUCACCUUCUAUAUGCUCCUAAAUCAACGCCUUCCGUUCGGCUUGCCGCCACUGCGGGCUCCCUAAGCGCACUGUCUUCCGCAGCCGCUUGUCAUGCAUUUGUGCCGCACUUGUUGUUGUUGUUACAUGUCCGUGGGUGCGUUCCCCGUACCUGCAAACCACCCUAGUACGAGCCGAGGGCUCAAGGGCUGACAAAUCGCCUAUAAGCACCAUCCUACCUCGCACUUCCAACGAGAUAAGUGAUGAAGUAAACUUACGGCCAAAGGGAACAAUAGAGUUGCGGUGAGACCAUAUAAGUUCCAGCAUCCUUGCCCGGCGUUCAGGCUCCCACUUCAUAGCGUCCUUCAUGCCGCACUUAGCGGACCGCCACAGCGGCUUUUCUACAAGCACACCGCCUUCCGCGGCCGCUGUCUAAAUGCUCCUAAAUCAACGCCUUCAGUUUCGGCGUGCCGCCACGGCGGGCUUCCUAAGCGCACUGCCUUCCGCAGCCGCGUGUCAUGCAUUUGAGUCGCACUUAGCNNNNNNNNNNNNNNNNNNNNNNNNNNNNNNNNNNNNNNNNNNNNNNNNNNGGUAAUCAGGCGAACUCAAGACAAAGGGCGCCGAUCAAGCCCCUCGCAACCUCUUGCCAACCAAGAGCUACUCCCGGCAAAACGGACUCCCAGCUAAAGCCUCGCCAACUGCGGGAGGCCGAGAUAAAACCACCUUUCCUACUGACCUACGGACCUCGCGAACCCAACUAGAAUUCCCCCGCCCACCGACAAGCAACAGAACCCACUAUUCAGGUGCCUCUACUCACGGCCGAACCAACCCAACCACCCGCGCAGUGCCCGCGCGCUUCACUUACUUGCAUGGAUGCCGUUGGCCCGCAAUGUCGAUCUGCGCGUCGCCGUUGUUGUUGUCUUCUCAUAUAUAAGAGACGGCGUUCUAUUGUAGGCAAAACCAAAGAUAAAGGCAAUCUAACAUCACUCGUCAAGCGAUUUCGACCUCGACUUUUUCUAGUCUUUCUCGUCGUCUAUUUUCUGUAAUCCGUCUUAAUAAAGCUUAGUUGGUACCUGUUGUCUGACUCUGCAUUCUGUGCUGGAAUGGCCAUAACUCGGACUGUCUCGUCCUGGUGUGAUAUCCGUGGUUGGCAUAGGGCCCUCCGUACUUCUGUAUUUGGCAGCUCACAACCGGGCACAUCUCCUACACGAUGCCGAUCACCACCCAGCAGCGAUCCCUUCAUGAGUUAGUGAAUAAAUGAGUUUAAUUUCUUACUCUGGUGACGUCAACCUGAGCCUGAUUGAUGACCACGUUACUGUUCCCGUUUUGCCCCGUCCUGCGCCGGUCAGUUCUCAGAUGUCCUCACCGGUGCUUGGUCCAAUAUGAACAAUCAAAACCAGCCGCCGAGCAGUACUCUGCUUAUCACCGAGCCUGGCGAAGUUUAGCAACCAGUUCACUCAGGAGGUUUCCGACUUGCCUGUCCUACACCAAUCGCCCGCCGGGACGAAGCGGUUUGAUACUUCUCGGUGAUGUGUACGGUCUUAUAUCUAGUUUCCUGCUGGAUUCUUGAUGAUGUUGGGACAUUGCUACUAUGUUGCGGCUGCAUCCUGUAAAGGUCGUAUCGUGUUUAUAACUUCAUGUCUUUUCUGUUUUAAUUCGUUUGGCUUUGCAAUCUCCGCCUCCUUUGUCUAGACUCGGGUUUUGGAGGUAACUUCUUUUCCUUAAUCCCGCCCUUGCAGCCGGCCGUCCAGGGAAAAGCGAAAGAGCUCCUAAGCCUUCAAACAGUCUUUUGUAUCUUGCUUCAACUAUUACCUAUGCAGCAAUUUGCUACAUCGUAAAAUGCGACAACCAGGAGACAGCAUACAUAUAAGGGCUUGGCACAACUGGUACCGCGCGACCAUUGCCCCCGGGACAUCCCGGGAUCGAUACCCGUUAGGGUCAAAAGUCCUUCCGAUGGCGGAAGGCAUUGC